CAGUCGCCGCGGUAAUACAGAGGCCUCAAGCGUUGUUCGGAUUCAUUGGGCGUAAAGCGCACGUAGGCGGCUAUUCAAGUCAGAGGUGGAAGCCCGGGGCUCAACCCCGGAAUUGCCUUUGAAACUAGAUAGCUUGAACACGGGAGAGGUGAGUGGAAUUCCGAGUGUAGAGGUGAAAUUCGUAGAUAUUCGGAAGAACACCAGUGGCGAAGGCGGCUCACUGGACCGUUGUUGACGCUGAGGUGCGAAAGCGUGGGGAGCAAACGGGAUUAGAUACCCGCGUAGUCCCUGUCUCUUAUAC
This 301-nucleotide ribosomal RNA is filed under the name uncultured bacterium. Its description in RNAcentral is "partial 16S ribosomal RNA". It matches the Rfam family "Bacterial small subunit ribosomal RNA", at positions 509 to 807 of the family's 1533-position model. The record is from RNAcentral.